GACAAACGCUGGCGGCGUGCCUAACACAUGCAAGUUGAGCGACGAACCAGGGCUUGCCCUGGGGCAAAGCAGCGAACGGGUGAGUAACACGUGGGUAACCUACCCCGAUAACCGGGACAACCCGAGGAAACUCGGGCUAAUACCGGAUGUGCUCACUGGACUUCGGUUCAGUGCGUAAAGGAAGCUUCGGCCUCCGUAUCGGGAGGGGCCCGCGGCCCAUUAGUUUGUUGGUGAGGUAACGGCUCACCAAGACCGCGAUGGGUAGCUGGUCUGAGAGGACGAUCAGCCACACUGGGACUGAGACACGGCCCAGACUCCUACGGGAGGCAGCAGUGGGGAAUCUUGCGCAAUGCGCGAAAGCGUGACGCAGCAACGCCGCGUGGGGGAAGAAGGCCUUCGGGUUGUAAACCCCUUUCAGGAGGGACGAAGGUUCGGCGGUGAAUAGCCGUCCGGACUGACGGUACCUCCACAAGAAGCCCCGGCUAACUACGUG
This 493-nucleotide ribosomal RNA is filed under the name uncultured bacterium. RNAcentral describes it as "partial 16S ribosomal RNA". It matches the Rfam family "Bacterial small subunit ribosomal RNA", at positions 28 to 507 of the family's 1533-position model. The record is from RNAcentral.